GGCGCGGAAACUGAACGCGCCGCAACGGCAGCCGCUGCUUCUUCACGCUCCUCAGGCGCCUUGGGUGCUCCCGGUCCCGCCAUGACCGCGCCCUGCCCGGAGGACCCCUCGCUGGAGAGGCAUUUUAAGGGCCAUCGAGAUGCAGUCACCUCUGUGGACUUCAGUCUCAACACAAAGCAGCUGGCCAGUGGCUCCAUGGACUCGUGCCUUAUGGUGUGGCACAUGAAGCCCCAGUCACGUGCCUACCGGUUUGCUGGCCACAAGGACGCCGUAACCUGUGUGAACUUUUCCCCUUCGGGACACCUGCUUGCUUCUGGCUCCCGUGACAAGACUGUCCGCAUAUGGGUACCCAACGUCAAAGGCGAGUCAACUGUGUUUCGUGCACACACAGCCACAGUGAGGAGUGUCCAUUUCUGCAGCGAUGGCCAGUCCUUCGUGACAGCCUCCGACGACAAGACAGUCAAGGUGUGGUCAACUCAUCGCCAGAAAUUCCUGUUCUCCCUGAGCCAGCAUAUCAACUGGGUCCGCUGUGCCAAGUUCUCCCCGGAUGGGCGGCUCAUCGUAUCCGCCAGUGAUGACAAAACUGUCAAACUGUGGGACAAGACCAGCCGGGAGUGUAUCCACUCGUACUGUGAGCAUGGCGGCUUUGUCACCUACGUGGACUUCCACCCCAGUGGUACGUGCAUCGCUGCUGCCGGCAUGGACAACACAGUGAAGGUGUGGGAUGUGCGGACUCACCGGUUAUUACAGCACUAUCAGUUGCACAGCGCAGCGGUGAACGCCCUCUCCUUCCACCCAUCGGGGAACUACCUGGUCACAGCCUCCAGCGACUCAACCCUGAAGAUCCUGGACCUCAUGGAGGGCCGGCUGCUCUACACACUCCACGGCCAUCAGGGUCCAGCCACCACGGUUGCCUUUUCAAGAACGGGGGAGUAUUUUGCUUCUGGCGGUUCGGAUGAGCAAGUGAUGGUUUGGAAGAGUAACUUUGACGUCGUCGAUUAUGGAGAAGUGCUAAGAGUGCAGAGGCCCCCGGCCGCGCGGGUCAGCUCCUCUGGGACUCUGCCAGAAGUGGACCCCCUCGUCCCGCCCGGCAGGGGCAGGAGUCAGGAGUCAAUGCAGAGCCAAUCCCAGGAGCCCGUGAGCAUGCCCCAGUCGCUGACCAGCACACUGGAGCACAUCGUGGGCCAGUUGGACGUCCUCACCCAGGACAGGCUGAGGGCAGUGCCGUGGACGGCUGGGAGUGGACGUUAUGCAAACAAUGGAUGCUGUGGUCCCCUGGAGUUUGGGAGAUGCCAGAUGCGCUCCUGCAGGACUUCUCAGAGCCUUGAUGCGCUGCAGCCAGGGCCAGAGUUCAGAGUUUCUCAGACAUCUGACCACGUGACCCUCUUUCUCCAGGUAAUCAACUGGUUUUGAGGCCUGAGGAUGGUUCGUCAAGUGCUGAUUGACCAGUAAUGCCUGCCCGGGAAGAAUCAUGGCUGAGCGCCCAGCAUGUGGGAUCUUAGUUCCCUGACAAAGGGGUGGCAUCUGUGGCCCCUUCAUUGGAAGCGCAGAGGAGUCAAUACCAGGACUCUCCUUUGAGUGCUGUCUCCAUCCCUGCCGACCAGCACCUGGACUACUACCUCCUCACUGUCGGGCCCAGCACCCUCCCACAUGGGGGAGACCUGAGGCCCAGAGAGGUGAGAACUAUCACAAUGUAUCAGCAAGUAACAGAGUAGAGUGUGCAUCUGAGCCCCUCAGGCUCUGCGAGCCCUUUCCACGCGUUCCAGAUCCCCAGACAAGAAGGCACUGCCCAGCAACCCUAGGACAAGUCUGCGUGGGAGGCCAAAGACCUGCUUUUCCUAUCACCUCUCUGGGCCUAGAAUCUCAGGUGAUAAGACCAUCUAUGAAUGCAAGACUCUGGUCUUUUCGGAAGCGUAACCGUGGAAGAGAUCCCUGCUCCUCCGUGACACAGCUGUGCAGUUGGGAUGAAACCUUCAGGUAGACUCUCCUUCGCGAGGACAAAAGAGCGUUAGUGGGGAGGUGGGUAGCUGGGAAUGCUGCAGGGCCGCUCCUCUACGUGGUCGGAAAGCUCAAAUCCUGCGGGUUCCAGAGGCACGCACUCCGGCAAAUCUCAGGCACUACCGCCGUUCAUCUCUGACCCUAACUCUCUCCUGGAUGUAGAAGCAGGGUGGCGGGGAGCCCCCCAGCCUCGGGCAGAGUGGGAGGGUGUAACCCCAAGGAGGUGGCCGCACUCCGCCGGGAAGGGAACGGACCGGACGGGCUGCAACAUCAGUCAGGAACUCCCUCCCCGGCGCAGACUGCCCUGACUCCGUAGG
Molecule: RNA transcript, 2315 nt
Organism: Odocoileus virginianus texanus
Lineage: Eukaryota; Metazoa; Chordata; Mammalia; Artiodactyla; Cervidae
Gene: POC1A
Gene name: POC1 centriolar protein A
Source: RefSeq, a predicted model, not a curated record